This 253-nucleotide ribosomal RNA is filed under the name uncultured bacterium. RNAcentral describes it as "partial 16S ribosomal RNA". It matches the Rfam family "Bacterial small subunit ribosomal RNA", at positions 524 to 776 of the family's 1533-position model. The record is from RNAcentral.
UACGGGGGGGGCAAGCGUUGUUCGGAAUUACUGGGCGUAAAGGGCUCGUAGGUGGUCAACUAAGUCAGACGUGAAAUCCCCCGGCUUAACCGGGGAACUGCGUCUGAUACUGGAUGGCUAGAGUGUGGGAGAGGGAUGCGGAAUUCCAGGUGUAGCGGUGAAAUGCGUAGAUAUCUGGAGGAACACCGGUGGCGAAGGCGGCAUCCUGGACCAUGACUGACACUGAAAAGCGAAAGCCAGGGGAGCAAACGGG